Molecule: ribosomal RNA, 460 nt
Filed under: uncultured bacterium
Lineage: Bacteria
Description: partial 16S ribosomal RNA
Rfam family: Bacterial small subunit ribosomal RNA
Source: RNAcentral
CCUACGGGCGACAGCAGUGAGGAAUAUUGGUCAAUGGGCGGAAGCCUGAACCAGCCAAGUCGCGUGAGGGAAUAAGGCCCUACGGGUCGUAAACCUCUUUUGCCGGGGAGCAAGGGCCGGGACGAGUCCCGGUCCGGAGAGUACCCGGAGAAAAAGCAUCGGCUAACUCCGUGCCAGCAGCCGCGGUAAUACGGAGGAUGCGAGCGUUAUCCGGAUUUAUUGGGUUUAAAGGGUGCGUAGAUGGCAUAGUAAGUCUUUUGUAAAAAUGCUGGGCUCAACCCAGUAGGGCAAAAGAUACUGCAAAGCUAGAGUAUGACAGAGGCAAGUGGAACUACAUGUGUAGCGGUAAAAUGCGUAAAUAUAUGUAAGAACACCAGUGGCGAAGGCGGCUUGCUGGGUCGAUACUGACAUUGAGGCACGAAAGCGUGGGGAGCAAACAGGAUUAGAUACCCUAGUAGUC